GAAAAGAAACUAACAAGGAUUCCCCUAGUAACUGCGAGUGAAGCGGGAAGAGCUCAAAUUUUGAAUCUGGCGGUCUUUGGCCGUCCGAGUUGUAAUCUAGAGAAGCGUUUUCCGCGUUGGACCGUGUACAAGUCUCCUGGAAGGGAGCGUCAUAGAGGGUGAGAAUCCCGUCUUUGACACGGACUACCAGUGCUAUGUGAUGCGCUCUCGACGAGUCGAGUUGUUUGGGAAUGCAGCUCAAAACGGGUGGUAAAUUCCAUCUAAAGCUAAAUACAGGCGAGAGACCGAUAGCGAACAAGUACCGUGAGGGAAAGAUGAAAAGAACUUUGGAAAGAGAGUUAAACAGUACGUGAAAUUGCUGAAAGGGAAACGCUUGAUGUCAGUCGCGUCGGCCAGGGAUCAACCUUGCUUCAUCGCUGGGUGCAUUUCCUGGUCGAUGGGUCAGCAUCAGUUUCGAUCGCCGUACAAUGAUGACGGGAAUGUGGCACUCUUCGGAGUGUGUUAUAGCCUUUCAUCGUAUGCGGUGUUUGGGACUGAGGAACUCGGCACGACUUUCAGUUUGUGUCUAGGAUGCUGGCAUAAUGGCCUUAAGCGACCCGUCUUGAAACACGGACCAAGGAGUCUAACAUGCCUGCGAGUGUUUGGGUGGCAAACCCGGGCGCGUAAUGAAAGUGAAAGUCGAGACCUCUGUCGUGGA
This 697-nucleotide ribosomal RNA is filed under the name Xerocomellus sp. RNAcentral describes it as "partial large subunit ribosomal RNA". It matches the Rfam family "Eukaryotic large subunit ribosomal RNA", at positions 56 to 754 of the family's 3401-position model. The record is from RNAcentral. Lineage: Eukaryota; Fungi; Basidiomycota; Agaricomycetes; Boletales; Boletaceae.